AUUGAACGCUGGCGGCAUGCCUUACACAUGCAAGUCGAACGGCAGCACGGGAGCAAUCCUGGUGGCGAGUGGCGAACGGGUGAGUAAUAUAUCGGAACGUGCCCAGUCGUGGGGAUAACGUAGCGAAAGCUACGCUAAUACCGCAUACGAUCUAUGGAUGAAAGCGGGGGAUCGCAAGACCUCGCGCGAUUGGAGCGGCCGAUAUCAGAUUAGGUAGUUGGUGAGGUAAAGGCUCACCAAAGCCGACGAUCUGUAGCUGGUCUGAGAGGACGACCAGCCACACUGGGACUGAGACAGGCCCAGACUCCUACGGGAGGCAGCAGUU
This 325-nucleotide ribosomal RNA is filed under the name uncultured bacterium. RNAcentral describes it as "bacterial SSU rRNA". It matches the Rfam family "Bacterial small subunit ribosomal RNA", at positions 30 to 356 of the family's 1533-position model. The record is from RNAcentral.